UUCAACGGAGAGUUUGAUCCUGGCUCAGGACGAACGCUGGCGGCGUGCUUAACACAUGCAAGUCGAGCGGUAAGGCCCUUCGGGGUACACGAGCGGCGAACGGGUGAGUAACACGUGGGUGA
This 122-nucleotide ribosomal RNA is filed under the name Nocardia cyriacigeorgica. RNAcentral's name for it is "partial 16S ribosomal RNA". It matches the Rfam family "Bacterial small subunit ribosomal RNA", at positions 1 to 124 of the family's 1533-position model. The record is from RNAcentral. Lineage: Bacteria; Bacillati; Actinomycetota; Actinomycetes; Mycobacteriales; Nocardiaceae.